RNAcentral lists this unclassified non-coding RNA (908 nucleotides) under Hevea brasiliensis (rubber tree). The record is from RNAcentral. Lineage: Eukaryota; Viridiplantae; Streptophyta; Magnoliopsida; Malpighiales; Euphorbiaceae.
AUAACCAAACAUUGAAAUUUGAUACCCAUCGAAAUCUCUCUCUCAAACCAUCGGGAAAACCUGCAUGUCAAGUUUGCUCUUUUGAAAGUGGAUGAUGCUAUAUUCAUUUCUGGGGUUGCUCAAGGAAUUGGUUUCUGCCUAGUGCAUGACCUUUGAGUUGAGCAACUAUUAUCACAAUGGUAACCUCUCACCGCAGGUUCACUGGGGUUUUCAAAAGAUCAAAUGACAGUGUCAGGCUAAUAAUAACAACAAUCAUGGGAAUGGUAUUUGGAUAUUUCAUUGGCAUUUCGUUUCCAUCUGUUUCUCUAACAAAGAUGUCUUUACCUUCAAGCAUUUUAUCAUCUCUUGAUGUAGCCUUCAAUGACGGUCAUCAAAGACUUAGUGGACGUAGUUUUCCUGAAAAUCUUGGCAGUGUCCCUUUAACACCAAAGAUAUAUGUUCCAACAAAUCCUCGCGGUGCAGAGUCUUUGCCACCAGGGAUCGUGGUCCCUGAAUCAGAUUUCUAUCUACGAAGAUUGUGGGGUGAUCCAAGUGAGGAUCUAAGGAAUAAGCCAAAGUAUUUGGUGACAUUUACAGUUGGUUUGGAUCAAAAGAACAACAUCGAUGCCUGCGUUAAAAAGUUUUCAGAGGAUUUUCAAAUUUUGCUUUUUCAUUAUGAUGGUCGAACGAGUGAAUGGGAUCAGUUCGAAUGGUCCAAGCGUGCAGUUCAUAUCAGUAUUAGGAAGCAGACAAAAUGGUGGUAUGCAAAGAGGUUUUUGCAUCCUGAUGUCGUAGCUGCCUAUGAUUAUGUAUUUAUCUGGGACGAAGAUCUGGGGGUUGAACACUUCAAUGCAGACAAGUAUAUUCAGCUAGUUAAGAAACAUGGACUAGAGAUCUCUCAGCCAGGUCUUGAACCCAACAAUGGUCUA